CCUACGGGGGGCUGCAGUGGGGAAUAUUGGACAAUGGGGGGAACCCUGAUCCAGCCAUGCCGCGUGUGUGAAGAAGGCCCUCGGGUUGUAAAGCACUUUCAGUGAGGAAGAACGCCUGGUGGUUAAUACCCAUCAGGAAAGACAUCACUCACAGAAGAAGCACCGGCUAACUCCGUGCCAGCAGCCGCGGUAAUACGGAGGGUGCGAGCGUUAAUCGGAAUUACUGGGCAUAAAGCGCGCGUAGGUGGCUUGAUAAGCCGGUUGUGAAAGCCCCGGGCUCAACCUGGGAACGGCAUCCGGAACUGUCAAGCUAGAGUGCAGGAGAGGAAGGUAGAAUUCCCGGUGUAGCGGUGAAAUGCGUAGAGAUCGGGAGGAAUACCAGUGGCGAAGGCGGCCUUCUGGACUGACACUGACACUGAGGUGCGAAAGCGUGGGUAGCAAACAGGAUUAGAUACCCGGGUAGUC
RNAcentral lists this ribosomal RNA (465 nucleotides) under Vreelandella stevensii. RNAcentral's name for it is "partial 16S ribosomal RNA". It matches the Rfam family "Bacterial small subunit ribosomal RNA", at positions 338 to 795 of the family's 1533-position model. Lineage: Bacteria; Pseudomonadati; Pseudomonadota; Gammaproteobacteria; Oceanospirillales; Halomonadaceae. The record is from RNAcentral.